AAAUAGGAUUAAUUGAAAAAUGGGGGCUGGUGAGACAAAUCGAGGGGUAAAAAUAGAGCUGGCAAAACGAGUCAUCGGGUCAUGUUCGUGUCGUGUCAGCUUCGUGUCGUGUCAAAUUUAGGUCGACCAAACCCGACCCAUUUAAUAAUCGCGUCCAAAUAUUGAGACCCAAACCCGACACGAAAAAAUAAUCGGGUUACCCAAUAACCCGUUUAAUAUCUAUAUAUUGAACAAAAAUUACAUCAAAUAUUUACACACUAUCAUACAUACGUAUGUACAUAAACACAUACAUACAUAAUUUAUCAAUAUUAUAAAAUAUACAUAUCUACCAAUAUAUUACACAUUUACACUAUUGAGAUUUAAUUAUAUAUAUAUAUAUAUCAAUAUAUAUAUAUAUAUAUAUAUAUAUAAUAUUAUAUAUCAAUAUUAUAAAAUAUACAUGUCUAUCAAUUUUUACACAUUUACACUAUUGAAGUUCUAAAUGUAUGUAAAAUUUUAUAAAUAAAACACUGUGUUUAUAUUCACCCUUUUAAAGAAUAAAAAAAGAAAAUCAUCUCUAAUAUUUGAGUUUUAAUUAUAAGAAUAUGUAAAUUAUUUUAAAAUAGAAAAUAUAAUCGGGUAAUUGAUCGGGUAAAUGGGUUAAGAAUUUUAACCCAAACCUGACACGGAAAAAAUCGUGUUGACCCGGACCCAACCCAUUUAAUAAUCGUGUUAAAUUUGACAACCCAUACCCAUUUAUUUAUGUCGUGUUCGUGUCGGAUAAUCGGGUCGUGUCAAAUUUUGACAGCUCUAGGUAAAAAGAUCACUAGUCUAGUAAAACUCUUGGGCCUGACUCAUUUUACACGGGCGUUGUCCGUUUAAUAAGCUUUUGUUAGAACAAAAGCCUACCUUUCUUUAAAAAAAAAAAAAAAAAAAAAAAAAAGCCUACCUGUUUUAUAAUAAUGGCAUUUGGCAAGUCGUUCAUAUAGUUAUUUAACAGUCGACAUGUGAUUUAUAUAUUAAGUUACCGGCCUACAUGUCUUCUCAUUUGUUUGGGGGAGAAAAAAAAAAAGCAACAACUAUAUAUUAGCAGGUGGAAGUAUUAUUAUGAAAAUAGCAUGUCGGUCAUACAUCAUUUUGAAUUUCUACUUUUAUCUUUAAAAGGGAAAAAUACAUAUAAUUAGAAGGGAAUACCACAUUGACAUACUUGUCCCAAUCCCAAAUUUAGAGCUCAACCGAAGCCAAAUUUUAAAAGUUUUGUUAUUUGUAUGGUAUAACAAAUAUAUUUUUUCAAAUUAGAAGGAAAAUCAAAUAUAUUUUUUCAAAUUCAAGACUCGAGUUUUGAAUUAAUGGGAGCUUCUUGUUUUGCUUUACUUUCUUCAGUUAAUUGUUUCAAUCAUUUUAAAUUAUAUAAACACACGCGCACGCACACACACAAUAGCUAGCAUGCAGGUCGUAGUCUUGCCGGGGAGCAUGAAUGUUUCAAUAUAUGCAUGAAACGUACGUCGUUCCAGUAGAUUCCCGCAAACUCUAGUGGAAUCGAAAACAAGAUUUGAGAGAUCCAAUGUUCUUAGAUUGUCAGGCACAACGUUACCAAGUUGCAAUUUAGAAUUAUUGCAAUUUGUAAUCAUGUUUAUUCAAUGCUAAUUCUAGUUAUAAAUAUAAUGCGAUUGAUCAUCUUGAUUUAUAACGUUCUGACUUAUUAAUUUAAAAUAAUCCCAACAAUUAAUUAAUUAAGUUGUAUGACAUAGAACAUGAUCUUUGCGCCUUUUUAGGAGCUGCCAAGUAUCAUAAACAAAGUUAUUGCCUUUACUCGUGAUAAUAACUUAAGUUAUAAGUGUCUAAUUUGUGCUUAUAGUAUACUUGUUGCGCCUUUUUAAUAAACUGUUAAGUAUUAUAAACAAAGUUAUUGUAUUUACUCCUAAUAAUAACUUGAGCUAUAUGUGUUUAUUUUGUGCUCAUAAUAUAUUAUUUGAGGCUUAUGUAAAUACGAAUGUAUAUGUUUAUUAUAAGUCGUAAACAAUCAGUGAAUUAUUUUCAAAUUCUACUAUUUUUAGGCCCAUAUUCACCUGUGGAAAUUAGGGAAAGUAAUUUCUUUUCAUA
Molecule: long non-coding RNA, 2082 nt
Filed under: Citrus x clementina
Lineage: Eukaryota; Viridiplantae; Streptophyta; Magnoliopsida; Sapindales; Rutaceae
Description: Citrus clementina (C. clementina) long non-coding RNA (CCLE_LNC003855)
Source: RNAcentral